This is a long non-coding RNA of Frieseomelitta varia, 840 nucleotides long. RefSeq lists it as uncharacterized. The transcript has 3 exons. NCBI's taxonomy places the organism in Eukaryota, Metazoa, Arthropoda, Insecta, Hymenoptera, Apidae. The record is from RefSeq and is a predicted model, not a curated record.
UGCUGACGCUGGUAAUGAUCGAAUGUGUUCUUUCAUUUCUCGGUAUCGUGAGAUUUAAAAAUUAACGUUGACCGUGACCACUUCAUUCUAAAGCGAGGUCACGGGUCACGAAACUUCGUAAGGUGCUUGGUCUAUUCAUAUAUCUCGUCUGUGACGAAACAUAGGACUCUCAAAGACGAUGGACACAAAAAAGGAUUAGUUGGCCGAUCUAUCCUAAUUGACUAAGAUAUAAUACCAAUGACUAACUGCAGGUGCUGCCUCCGUGUGAGCAAAGUAUAAUCAUACUAGAUCCCGAACGUUUGACAAUUUGAAGUGACAGUAGAAAUUUGUGAAAUACAAACGGAAUUUAAUGUUUUGUCAAACUAAACAUCGACCUCGAAUAAGACUCGGAUGUAUAUACUCUUCUUAACGAAUGAAGUCAGCAGACAAACAAAUUUUCUGCCACAUCAGCGAAGAGAACUGUCGUUCGAACGAAUCAACCACUAACGUAAAUUUAAUUUUUUUCUAUUUUUAAUAAUUGUGCAUUGCUUGUGUUAUAUAUACUUCUUAUCUAUGAUGUAAAAUGUUAUAUUACUUAUUGAUAAACUGACGAUACACAACACAUCAUCUAUGUGUAUCUUCCACUAUGUUAACUAAUAAUAAUAUUAUUAAAGAGAAAGAAAAGAGGGUAAAUUGAAGGGAAUAGCGAAACAACUUUCAGGAGAUACUGUUUGCCACGUUAUAAUAAUUUAUUUAAACAUUUAUACACCUAUGAUGUUCCACAGUCUUGAAAGUAGUUGCUAACCGAUAUAUAUAUAUAUAUGUAUAUGUAUGUAAGUAUAUACAUCCACAUACACACAU